AUUUGAAAUCUGGCCCUCGGGUCCGAGUUGUACUUUGCAGAGGAUGCUUCUGGCGAGGCGCUGCCCAAGUCCCCUGGAACGGGGCGCCGGAGAGGGUGAGAGCCCCGUACGGUCGGCGGCCGAGCCUGUGCGAAGCUCCUUCGACGAGUCGAGUAGUUUGGGAAUGCUGCUCUAAGCGGGAGGUAGACCCCUUCUAAAGCUAAAUACCGGCCAGAGACCGAUAGCGCACAAGUAGAGUGAUCGAAAGAUGAAAAGCACUUUGAAAAGAGGGUUAAACAGCACGUGAAAUUGUUGAAAGGGAAGCGCUUGCGACCAGACGUGCGCCGGGGUGCUCCGCGGGCGUUCUCGCCCGCGCACUCGCCCCGGCGCAGGCCAGCGUCGGUUCGGAUGGGGGGACAAAGGCGCCUGGAACGUGGCUCCCCCGGGAGUGUUAUAGCCAGGCGCGCCAUGCCCCCGCCCGGACCGAGGUUCGCGUUCUGCAAGGACGCUGGCGUAAUGGUCCCCAGCGGCCCGUCUUGAAACACGGACCAAGGAGUCGAGGUUUUGCGCGAGUGUCUGGGUGACAAACCCGCACGCGCAAUGAAAGUGAACGCUGGUGGGAGCUUCGGCGCACCACCGACCGAUCCUGAAGUUUACGGAUGGAUUUGAGUACGAGCGCAGGGCCUCGGACCCGAAAGAUGGUGAACUAUGCUUGGAUAGGGUGAAGCCAGAGGAAACUCUGGUGGAGGCUCGCAGCGGUUCUGACGUGCAAAUCGAUCGUCAAAUCUGAGCAUGGGGGCGAAAGACUAAUCGAACCGUCUAGUAGCUGGUUACUGCCGAAGUUUCCCUCAGGAUAGCAGUGUUGAUCUCAGUUUUAUGAGGUAAAGCGAAUGAUUAGGGACUCGGGGGCGCUCUU
RNAcentral lists this ribosomal RNA (895 nucleotides) under Sporoschisma hemipsilum. RNAcentral's name for it is "eukaryotic LSU rRNA". It matches the Rfam family "Eukaryotic large subunit ribosomal RNA", at positions 113 to 1042 of the family's 3401-position model. The record is from RNAcentral. Lineage: Eukaryota; Fungi; Ascomycota; Sordariomycetes; Chaetosphaeriales; Chaetosphaeriaceae.